RNAcentral lists this ribosomal RNA (171 nucleotides) under uncultured bacterium. RNAcentral describes it as "partial 16S ribosomal RNA". It matches the Rfam family "Bacterial small subunit ribosomal RNA", at positions 796 to 944 of the family's 1533-position model. The record is from RNAcentral.
CACGCCCUAAACGAUGACAACUAGCUUUUCGGAGUAUCGACCCUCUGAGAGGCGAAGCUAACGCGUUAAGUUGUCCGCCUGGGUANAAACGAAAAACCUUACCAAGGUUUGAAACCUAGCUGAAUACUCGGAGAAACUCGAGUAGUCCCACAAGGACAGUUAGGCAGGUGA